AUUGGAGUCUGNAACCCGACUCCAUGAAGCUGGAUUCGCUAGUAAUCGCGCAUCAGCCACGGCGCGGUGAAUACGUUCCCGGGCCCUUGUACACACCGCCCGUCAAGCCAUGGAAGCCGGGAGUGCCUGAAGUACGCGACCGCAAAAGGAGCGUCCUAAGGUAAAACCGGUGACUGGGGCUAAGUCGUAACAAGGUAUC
RNAcentral lists this ribosomal RNA (199 nucleotides) under uncultured bacterium. Its description in RNAcentral is "partial 16S ribosomal RNA". It matches the Rfam family "Bacterial small subunit ribosomal RNA", at positions 1297 to 1500 of the family's 1533-position model. The record is from RNAcentral.